UUUUGCUGUGAGUGAAAGCCGGGUCGCUAGACAAGACUUGGGCUUGGACCUUGGAGGCUUAGGGAUUGGUUUGGGUGUUGGAGUGGGUAUUGGGCUGGGAGGUGGUGGAUCAGGUUCUGGUGCUGGAGCAGGUUCGGGUUCGGGUUCCAGACCUGGGUCUAGCUCAAGUUCCAGUUCAUCCUCUUCUUCGUCAAGCUCUAGUUCUGGGUCCGGAGGCGGUUCUGGUGCCGGGUCAGAAGCCGGUUCGUCUGCUGGUUCUAGGGCCGGGUCAGGAGC
This 276-nucleotide long non-coding RNA is filed under the name Populus trichocarpa (black cottonwood). RNAcentral's name for it is "long non-coding RNA (PTRI_LNC004055)". Lineage: Eukaryota; Viridiplantae; Streptophyta; Magnoliopsida; Malpighiales; Salicaceae. The record is from RNAcentral.